GAUGAACGCUGGCGGCGCGCCUAACACAUGCAAGUCGAACGGUUAAAGCACCUUUUAGGUGUGUAUAAAGUGGCGAACGGCUGAGUAACACGUGGGCAACCUGCCCUCCUCUUGGGGAUAGCCUCGGGAAACCGAGGAUAAUACCCGAUACUUCAAUGUGGCCGCAUGACGACAUUGAGAAAGCUUUUGCGGAGAAGGAUGGGCCCGCGGCCUGUUAGUUUGUUGGUGGGGUAGAGGCCUACCAAGGCAAUGAUGGGUAGCUGGGUUGAGAGACCGACCAGCCAGAUUGGGACUGAGACACGGCCCAGACUCCUACGGGAGGCAGCAGUGGGGAAUCUUGCACAAUGGGCGAAAGCCUGAUGCAGCGACGCCGCGUGCGGGACGAAGGCCUUCGGGUUGUAAACCGCUUUCAGCAGGGACGAGGCGAUAAGUGACGGUACCUGCAGAAGAAGCCCCGGCUAACUACGUG
RNAcentral lists this ribosomal RNA (469 nucleotides) under uncultured bacterium. RNAcentral's name for it is "partial 16S ribosomal RNA". It matches the Rfam family "Bacterial small subunit ribosomal RNA", at positions 28 to 507 of the family's 1533-position model. The record is from RNAcentral.